CUUCUAAUGAACUCCUAUGUUGUGGUGAAGUCCUUAGGACUAUUUAGACUCGACAAAGGAGGAUUUGUCGUUUAGUCCUUAAAUCUGUUCGCGACCAAAUGAUAUGUUGUUACCAAGGACGACAAUAUUUAUCAAGCAUAGAUCGUUGUGUGCCAUAUAGGUUGGUUGUCCUCUUAACCAAUGAGUGUAGAGACACUGGUAUGGCAUACAGGUG
RNAcentral lists this long non-coding RNA (214 nucleotides) under Elaeis guineensis (African oil palm). RNAcentral describes it as "long non-coding RNA (EGUI_LNC072529)". The record is from RNAcentral. Lineage: Eukaryota; Viridiplantae; Streptophyta; Magnoliopsida; Arecales; Arecaceae.